This 665-nucleotide ribosomal RNA is filed under the name uncultured bacterium. Its description in RNAcentral is "bacterial SSU rRNA". It matches the Rfam family "Bacterial small subunit ribosomal RNA", at positions 9 to 653 of the family's 1533-position model. The record is from RNAcentral.
GAGUUUGAUCCUGGCUCAGAUUGAACGCUGGCGGCAGGCCUAACACAUGCAAGUCGAGCGGAAACGAGUUAACUGAACCUUCGGGGAACGUUAACGGCGUCGAGCGGCGGACGGGUGAGUAAUGCCUGGGAAAUUGCCCUGAUGUGGGGGAUAACCAUUGGAAACGAUGGCUAAUACCGCAUAAUAGCUUCGGCUCAAAGAGGGGGACCUUCGGGCCUCUCGCGUCAGGAUAUGCCCAGGUGGGAUUAGCUAGUUGGUGAGGUAAUGGCUCACCAAGGCGACGAUCCCUAGCUGGUCUGAGAGGAUGAUCAGCCACACUGGAACUGAGACACGGUCCAGACUCCUACGGGAGGCAGCAGUGGGGAAUAUUGCACAAUGGGCGCAAGCCUGAUGCAGCCAUGCCGCGUGUAUGAAGAAGGCCUUCGGGUUGUAAAGUACUUUCAGCAGUGAGGAAGGUGGGUAUGUUAAUAGCAUACUCAUUUGACGUUAGCUGCAGAAGAAGCACCGGCUAACUCCGUGCCAGCAGCCGCGGUAAUACGGAGGGUGCGAGCGUUAAUCGGAAUUACUGGGCGUAAAGCGCAUGCAGGUGGUUUGUUAAGUCAGAUGUGAAAGCCCGGGGCUCAACCUCGGAAUUGCAUUUGAAACUGGCAAACUAGAGUACUGUA